GCCCUCUGUUAAGCAUUCUUUCAAAAUCCAUUUUGCAAAUAAAUUUGUAUAAGUAACGGCUAGAACUAAGAUCUAUAAUAUUUACUCCAUAGAUCGGCCUCCACGGGUUUGCCAGUAUAUUCUUCAUUGGUUUAAACUUUAUAGUCGCUUCUAUCAAGAAUCUUCCUACCAAAUAGAGGUCAUACGACUCUCGCUGUUCAGGGACAAGUUUAGUUAAGUCCCAGCCCCCAUCCUCCUCCUCUGCAAUCGACAACGAUGUCACGCCAUCCACCAUAUCCAUCGGUCACCUUUACAUGCCAAUCGAC
RNAcentral lists this long non-coding RNA (305 nucleotides) under Carica papaya (papaya). Its description in RNAcentral is "long non-coding RNA (CPAP_LNC014287)". Lineage: Eukaryota; Viridiplantae; Streptophyta; Magnoliopsida; Brassicales; Caricaceae. The record is from RNAcentral.